RNAcentral lists this ribosomal RNA (440 nucleotides) under uncultured bacterium. RNAcentral describes it as "partial 16S ribosomal RNA". It matches the Rfam family "Bacterial small subunit ribosomal RNA", at positions 338 to 795 of the family's 1533-position model. The record is from RNAcentral.
CCUACGGGUGGCAGCAGUGGGGAAUAUUGCACAAUGGAGGGAACUCUGAUGCAGCGACGCCGCGUGAGGGAAGAAGUAACUCGUUAUGUAAAGCUCCAUUAGCAGGGAAGUAAGUGACGGUACCUGAAAAAGAAGCUCCGGCUAAAUACGUGCAAGCAGCCGCGGUAAUACGUAUGGAGCAAGCGUUAUCCGGAUUUACUGGGUGUAAAGGGAGAGUAGGUGGCAGAGCAAGUCCGGAGUGAAAACCCAAAGCUCAACUAUGGGAAUGCUUUAGAAACUGCUCAGCUGGAGUGCAGGAGAGGCAAGUGGAAUUCGUGGUGUAGCGGUGAAAUGCGUAGAUAUUAGGAAGAACCCCGAUGGCGAAGGCAGCUUGCUGGACUGUAACUGACACUGAGGCUCGAAAGCGUGGGGAGCAAACAGGAUUAGAUACCCUGGUAGUC